Brachypodium distachyon (stiff brome) is the source of this 1821-nucleotide long non-coding RNA. RefSeq lists it as uncharacterized. Lineage: Eukaryota; Viridiplantae; Streptophyta; Magnoliopsida; Poales; Poaceae. The record is from RefSeq and is a predicted model, not a curated record. The transcript is spliced from 2 exons.
UUCUUUUCCUUGAAUCUGAACAAUCUUACAACAGUUGCUAAUAGCUAGUUUCAGCAUAAUACUUAUCUGUUGUAAUUACUGCAAAGCAUAUGUGCAUUAUCUAGUAAAAUCUGUCCAAAAUGACUGAGUUGAAAAUGGAUUGUCUCCAGACUUGAGUAUACUUUCAGGUGCGAAAGGCGCUAACAAGUUUCUGCUGUUAGUAGAUUAGUUCAUUUAUUAUUUUGGUGUCCUGACUGUAACUUCAUUUUUCUCAAUAUUCGGGCAAGUAAACAUUUUGACCUUCUUUCCUUUUAAGUUGCUCGGCUGCUUCUUAUUCAACAUUCUAUUCUAAAUCUAAAUCCCUGCUUUUGUGCUUAAGCAUAACAUGAGGCUACCGUAUUAUUGGCAAGCAGUCUAUUUAUUCACAUCUCGUCAAUAUGUUAACAUAGACAUUUAUCAUUUAUUUAAGAAACAAUUUACAUGUGGAAACAACCCCCCGUUAUGCCAUGGGAUUGCUUCCCAACACAUCUGAUGGGGCCAAUGUAGCUUCUACAUCUGCUCGAGGCCAGCAGUCUGUAAUCUUGAUUUGAGGCGCAGCUGAUGAAUCAGGGCUGUGAUACCCCCACAACACAUCUGAUGGAUCCAUUGUAGCAUGUAUUUGUGGUGUGAGGAAGGCUCGUGAUAUUGACUUGAGGAGGGGCAGCUGAUGGAUCAGGGCUCGACUAAAUGGCAGGAACUAAUGUACAGUUCAGUGCAUUUUGUUAGUUUAGUCUGCAGACUUUCUGCACUAGCCCAAGUAAGCUUUCAAAUUGCUCGUGAAAAAAAGGCUGAAGGUCAUUUGUUGUCUGUUCGGACCAUCUAGAAUGGCAUAAACCGUUCAUUAUGGUUUGGAGAUUCAUAAACCGUUCAUUAUGGUUUGGAGAUUCGCUUUCAAUUUUUAAUUUUUCUCUCACCCCUAGUUGCUCUUAAUCAGAAGUCAUGUAACAGUAUAAUAAUGUUUCUCUUGGACUCAAUCAUGAAGGUUCUAGAACUACAGUUUUAACUAUAAUAUAACUCAACAACAUGUAUGCAUAACUGUAGCUAAAGCAAUAACAUUGUAGCACGAUACGCCUGAGGCUGUUUUUUUUUUUGAAACAAUGGGCUCUCCCCAUCGAUUUCCAUUAAAGAAACCGCCCCAGUUAGUCACACAGUCUUCAAACAAAACAAAAAGAGGUUCCGGACUGAAACACAGUACCACACUACAGGAAAUUUAUUACAAAACUCCAGAACAGGAGGCAACGAAACUACAGCACCCUACACCAGGAACGCCUGAACAGCACACCAUCAGCCUGUGAUCCUCCUUCCCAGCGGCGCGCAUCCUUGACGCCUGGAGAAGGCUUCGACCAGAACUUGUCUAAUCCUCUCGCUCCCGUCCUCCAAGCCUUUUUUGCUUCGAUCUGCAAUAGAGCCCAUGAGUUCAGAUUAUGACACAGGUUGAAGAUAAUUGCUGCAGGAUCCUGCGGGUACUGCUUCCUGAAGCAGGCAUUGUUCCUACUCUUCCAAAGGGUCCACAGAAUUGCAGCUGCACCACAAAAUGCCAGCUUUCGAUGGCCCGGGGGGAAAGAAGCUCCCCAUGAUCCUACCAGAUUCUCCAUCGACACUGCACAAAAGAAGCACUGAGCAUUACCAGUCCAUCCUCUUCUGAGCAGAUUAUCCUUAGUUAGGAUACUGUUUCUCAGAGCAAGCCACAGGAAAAAUCUUGAUCUUGUGAGGUAUCUUCAAAGUCCAAAUGAAUCUGUAUCCAACCAUAGCACCAGCUUUCAAGUGAAGAUACAGGGAUCUCACUGAAAACUGUUCAGAGCU